GCUUAAAUCUUUUGGCCCAGCUCCUACCUCCCGGCAGCCUCGCCAGGCCCAGAACUCUCUCCAGUCAGCCUCUACAGACCAAGCUCAUGACUCACAAUGGCCUAUUGAGGCCCAUACCCUACCUCACAGCAGUCUCCGCAGAUGAGCCUACUGCCUCACAACAGCCUCCACAGGCACAGCUCCAUCGUUACAAUGGCCUCUUUAGACCCAGCUCCUGCCUCCCAGCCUUCUCUCCAGGCCCUGAACUUUCUCCGGUGUCCCUCUGUUGUGCAAGGCUGGAGGGUAGUAGUGCUAUCGCAGCUGACUGCAGCCUCAACCUUCCAGGCUGAAGCGAUCCUCCCAUCUCAACCUCCCACGUGGCUGAGACUACAGGUGCUUGCCUCUAUGCCCACCUAAUAUUUGGUAUUUUUGUAUACGUGGAUUCCAGAGGGGUGACAGCGAAACGUGAGUGGGACCAUCCAGUUUCAGGAAAACAAGCUUAACACACCCACUGAUUCUACAUUAUGAUUCUUCAGGCCCAGCAUCUGCCUCACUGUGGACCCCCCAAGCCAAGCUCCCAACCUUUCAGCAGCUUCUACACACCCAGCUCCCGCCUGCCAGUGGCCUCUUCAGGCCCAUGGGGCUCAUUCCUCACAACAGCCUUUCCAGUCCCAGUUUUUCCCUUCCGGCGGCCUCUCCGGGCUGAGAACCUCCUCAAGUCGGCCUCUCCAGACCCACUUGCACCCUCCAGGCGUCCUCUCCGGGCCAAGCUCCUCUUCCUGGCUGCGUCUCCAGGCCUGACUCCUGCCUCUCAACAACCUCUUUGGACUCAGUGCCUACCCAUCUCCUGGCGUCCUUGGUCGGCCCACAGCUUCAUCAAGCCAAGCUCCCCAGGCCCAGGUCAGGCCUCACGGUGCCCCCUCCACGAUGAGCUCCUGCCCUCCAAUGGCACCUGCAGGCCCCAAAUGGUCUCCGGUCGGUGGGCUCCUCCACGCCAAGCUUGGGCCUCCCGGUGACCUCUGCAGGCCCAAGUUGUCCUGAAGUCGGCAUCUCCCGGCCGUGCCUCCCAGCAAGUAAGCAAGCUCUUUUGGCUCAACUCCUGCCCAGCUCCCAACCGCCUUUGUAGGUCCCGAACUUUCUCCAGCCAAGUUCUUUGGGCCUCAUUCCUGCCGCCCGGUGGCCUGUACGGGCCCAGCAAUGGUUGGAGAACGGCCUCUGCAGGUCCCGCUCUUGCCUCCCAGGGGCCUCUCCAGGCCCAGCUCUUGCCCUCACGGCGGCCACCCGGGGCCAAGUCCCUGCCUGCCUCCCAGCAGCCCUCAUGCGGCCCAGCUCCUCCCUCACGGUGGCCUGUUGAUGCCCAUGCCUCUGGUACCCUGCCCAGAGGCAUGAGCCCCUGCCACACACUGGCUCCUCCUAUGCUGAGAGAGGUCAGCGUGAGCCCUUGCCUCACACCGGCCCCUCCCACGCUGAGAGAGGUCAGCGUGAGCCCCUUGCCUCACACCGGCCCCUCCCACGCUGAGAGAGGUCGGCGUGAGCCCUUGCCUCACACCGGCCCCUCCCACGGUGAGAGAGGUCAGCGUCAGCCCCUUGCCUCACACCGGCCCCUCCCACGCUGAGAGAGGUCGGCGUGAGCCCUUGCCUCACACCGGCCCCUCCCACGGUGAGAGAGGUCAGCGUCAGCCCCUUGCCUCACACCGGCCCCUCCCACGCUGAGAGAGGUCGGCGUGAGCCCUUGCCUCACACCGGCCCCUCCCACGCUGAGAGAGGUCAACGUGAGCCCCUUGCCUCACACCGGCCCCUCCCACGGUGAGAGAGGUCAGUGUGAGCCCUUGCCUCACACCGGCCCCUCCCACGGUGAGAGAGGUCAGCAUCAGCCCCUUGCCUCACACGGGCCCCUCUCACUCUGACAGAGGUCAGCCUGAGCCCUUGUCUCACACCGGCCCCUCCCACGCUGAGAGAGGUCGGCGUGAGCCCUUGCCUCACACGGGCCCCUCUCACUCUGACAGAGGUCAGCCUGAGCCCUUGUCUCACACCGGCCCCUCCCACGCUGAGAGAGGUCAACGUGAGCCCCUUGCCUCACACCGGCCCCUCCCACGCUGAGAGAGGUCAACGUGAGCCCCUUGCCUCACACCGGCCCCUCCCACGCUGAGAGAGGUCAGCGUGAGCCCUUGCCUCACACCGGCCCCUCCCACGCUGAGAGAGGUCGGCAUGAGCCCCUUGCCUCACACGGGCCCCUCUCACUCUGACAGAGGUCAGCCUGAGCCCUUGUCUCACACCGGCCCCUCCCACGCUGAGAGAGGUCAGCCUGAGCCCUUGCCUCACACCGGCCCCUCCCACGCUGAGAGAGGUCAGCCUGAGCCCUUGCCUCACACCGGCCUCUCCCACGCUGAGAGAGGUCAGCCUGAGCCCUUGCCUCACACCGGCCCCUCCCACGCUGAGAGAGGUCAGCCUGAGCCCUUGCCUCACCCCGGCCCCUCCCACGCUGAGAGAGGUCAGCGUGAGCCCUUGCCUCACACCGGCCCCUCCCACGCUGAGAGAAGUUGGCGUGAGCCCUUGCCUCACACCAGCCCCUCCCACGGUGAGAGAGGUCAGCGUCAGCCCCUUGCCUCACACUGGCCCCUCCCAUGCUGAGAGAGGUCGGCGUGAGCCCUUGCCUCACACCGGCCCCUCCCACGCUGAGAGAGGUCAGCGUGAGCCCCUUGCCUCACACCGGCCCCUCCCACGCUGAGAGAGGUCAGCGUGAGCCCUUGCCUCACACCGGCCCCUCCCACGCUGAGAGAGGUCAGCGUGAGCCCCUUGCCUCACCCUGGCCCCUCCCACGCUGAGAGAGGUCGGCGUGAGCCCUUGCCUCACACCGGCCCCUCCCACGGUGAGAGAGGUCAGCGUGAGCCCCUGCCUCAACAGGCCACCGUGAGGGAGGAGCAGGGUCGCACGCAGGCUGCUGUGAGGCAGGCAGCGACUUGGGCCUGGGAGGUCGUGGUGGGGUGAGAGCUGGGCUUGGAGACUCCCCUGGGAGGCAACAGCAGGGCCUACAGACUCUGUUCUCCAGCCGGAGCUGGGACUGUUCAGGUACUGGGAGGUGGGAUGUGGGUCUGAAGAGCUUGGUUGCAGAAACUUCGGGGUCUACAAACGCAGGCGGGAGCUGAGCCAAAAAAGCUUGUUUGCUGGGAGGUGGGAGAUGCAGUCAGGAGAAACAGCUGUGCCUGCAGAGGCCGCCAUGCGGGAGGUGGAGGCCGGGCCUCCUCAAAUCGGCCUCUCCAGACCCACUUGCAGCCUCCCGGCAUCCUCUCCGGGCCCAGCUCUUCCUCCCGGCUGCGUCUCCAGGCCUGACUCUGGCCUCCCAACAACGUCUUUGGACUCAGCUCCUGCCCAGCUCCCAGCAGGCCCAAGUCGUCGUCAAGUCGGCCUGGAAUUGGGCCCAGAAGAGCAGCAAGUCGGCCUCCCCGGGCCCAGCUCCGUCCUCUCGGCGGCCUCUCCAGGUGCAAAACUUCCUCGAGUCAGCCUCUCCAGGCCCGGCUCCUCCUGCCUCCCAGUGGCCUCUUUCAGCCCAGACCAGCUCAUGGCUCUUGGCGGCCUUCCCAGGCCCCGCUUUUGACUUUUGGUGGCCUCUUCAGGCCCAGAACUUGACCUCCAGUGGGCCUUUGCAGGCCCGGCCUCCUGCCUCUCGAAGGCCUGCACGGGCCCGGACUCACAGCGGACUCACAGCGGACUCUCCAUGCCCAGCUAGCUCUCGCCUCAUUGCGGCCUCCCGAGUCCAAAGCUCCUGCCUCUCGGCCGCUUCGGCAGGCCCAGCUCCCGCCUGCCAGUGGCCUCUUUAGGCCCAGCUCAUUCCUCACAACGGCCUUCCCAGGCCCCGUUUUUCCCUUCUGGCAGCCUCUUGGCCUCUAAUUUGUUUAUCUUUUGUGUAUAAAUCCCAAAAUAUUGAAUUUUGGAAUAUUUCCACCAUUAUGUAAAUAUUUUGGUAGGUGAUUUAUUUGGGGUGAGUUUCUGCACCAAGCCCGAAUUUUUUAUUUUAUUUUCCUUAUUAUUUGGUGUUAAACAGGUUUAAUGACGGUCAUGGCAACUGUUUGGCACAAUGAAAAAUAUCGCCCAUGA
Gorilla gorilla gorilla (western lowland gorilla) is the source of this 4074-nucleotide long non-coding RNA. RefSeq lists it as uncharacterized. Lineage: Eukaryota; Metazoa; Chordata; Mammalia; Primates; Hominidae. The transcript is spliced from 4 exons. The record is from RefSeq and is a predicted model, not a curated record.